ACUUUGUAUUUUCAGGUGGGGGGGGUCUCACUAAAUUGGCAAGGCUGACCUUGAAUUUGGGAUCCUCCUACAUCAAUCUCGAAGGUUGCUUGAUAACCACGACUUCUAAAUCAUACAGACAAGCGCUCCAGAAGCCAGAAGGCAAGGCUCCGAGACCGGGAGCCCAGGCGAGAGCAGCCACCAGGCCUGAGGGCGCCUUCAGAGAUGUUUGAGGGCUCCUUCCCCUUUAAGAGCCCAGAUGCGGACUGCUGCCGACCGUGAUUUGAAACUCCAUCCCCGGAGGCUGGUGUCGACACCAUUGUUCUCAGCUCGCGGGCUCCCAGCUCAGGCUUAAUUAGCGAUAUGGUCUCUCAUGGACCCUGGAGCUCACUAUUUCAGCUGGGCCAUUGAACUGCACUGAACUGGCCAUUGAACUGCAGGGAUCUGCCUGUCUCUGCCUUUCCACCACUGGGAUACCACCGAGCACCACAGUGCCAGUUAUUCCACGGUGCUGGGGAUUGAACUCAGGUCUCAUGAUUGCUCAGCGGACACUUUACAGACUGAGCCUUCUCCCCAAGUCUCCAGGGUAGCUCAUAUAGAAGGUCACAAACA
Long non-coding RNA from Nannospalax galili (Upper Galilee mountains blind mole rat), 591 nucleotides. RefSeq lists it as uncharacterized. NCBI's taxonomy places the organism in Eukaryota, Metazoa, Chordata, Mammalia, Rodentia, Spalacidae. The record is from RefSeq and is a predicted model, not a curated record. The transcript has 3 exons.